Molecule: ribosomal RNA, 1319 nt
Filed under: uncultured Alphaproteobacteria bacterium
Lineage: Bacteria; Pseudomonadati; Pseudomonadota; Alphaproteobacteria
Description: uncultured alpha proteobacterium 16S ribosomal RNA
Rfam family: Bacterial small subunit ribosomal RNA
Source: RNAcentral
ACGCUGGCGGCACGCCUAACACAUGCAAGUCGAACGAAGUAGCAAUACUUAGUGGCAGACGGGUGAGUAACAUGUAGGUAUCUGCCCUUUGGCCUGGAAUAACACGAGGAAACUUGUGCUAAUACCGGAUAAGUCUUUACGGAGAAAGCUUUAUGCACCAUUGGAUGAGCCUGCACUUGAUUAGUUUGUUGGUGGGGUAAUGGCCUACCAAGACUGUGAUCAAUAGCUGAUUUGAGAGGAUGAUCAGCCACAUUGGGACUGAGACACGGCCCAAACUCCUACGGGAGGCAGCAGUGGGGAAUCUUGCACAAUGGAGGAAACUCUGAUGCAGCGAUGCCGCGUGAGUGAAGAAGGCCCUUGGGUUGUAAAGCUCUUUCGUCGGGGAAGAAAAUGACUGUACCCGAAUAAGAAGGUCCGGCUAACUUCGUGCCAGCAGCCGCGGUAAUACGAAGGGACCUAGCGUAGUUCGGAAUUACUGGGCUUAAAGAGUUCGUAGGUGGUUGAAAAAGUUGGUGGUGAAAUCCCAGAGCUUAACUCUGGAACUGCCAUCAAAACUUUUCAGCUAGAGUAUGAUAGAGGAAAGCAGAAUUUCUAGUGUAGAGGUGAAAUUCGUAGAUAUUAGAAAGAAUACCAAUUGCGAAGGCAGCUUUCUGGAUCAUUACUGACACUGAGGAACGAAAGCAUGGGUAGCGAAGAGGAUUAGAUACCCUCGUAGUCCAUGCCGUAAACGAUGUGUGUUAGACGUUGGAAAUUUAUUUUCAGUGUCGCAGGGAAACCGAUAAACACACCGCCUGGGGAGUACGACCGCAAGGUUAAAACUCAAAUGAAUUGACGGGGACCCGCACAAGUAGUGGAGCAUGUGGUUUAAUUCGAAGAUACGCGCAGAACCUUACCAACACUUGACAUGUUCGUCGCGACUCUAAGAGAUUAGAGUUUUCGGUUCGGCCGGACGAAACACAGGUGCUGCAUGGCUGUCGUCAGCUCGUGUCGUGAGAUGUUGGGUUAAGUCCCGCAACGAGCGCAACCCUCACUUUUAGUUGCCAUCAUUAAGUUGGGCACUCUGAAAGAACUGCCAGUGAUAAGCUGGAGGAAGGUGGGGAUGACGUCAAGUCCUCAUGGCCCUUACGUGUUGGGCUACACACGUGCUACAAUGGUAUCUACAACAGGAAGCAAGACUGCGAAGUUAAGCAAAUCCCUAAAAGAUACCUCAGUUCGGAUUGCACUCUGCAACUCGAGUGCAUGAAGCUGGAAUUACUAGUAAUCGUGGAUCAGCGUGCCACGGUGAAUGCGUUCCCGGGUCUUGUACUCACCGCCCGUCA